This 3121-nucleotide ribosomal RNA is filed under the name Streptomyces coelicoflavus ZG0656. RNAcentral describes it as "bacterial LSU rRNA". It matches the Rfam family "Bacterial large subunit ribosomal RNA". The record is from RNAcentral. Lineage: Bacteria; Bacillati; Actinomycetota; Actinomycetes; Kitasatosporales; Streptomycetaceae.
CCAAGUUUUUAAGGGCGCACGGUGGAUGCCUUGGCACCAGGAACCGAUGAAGGACGUGGGAGGCCACGAUAGGCCCCGGGGAGUCGUCAACCAGGCUUUGAUCCGGGGGUGUCCGAAUGGGGAAACCCGGCAGUCGUCAUGGGCUGUCACCCGCUGCUGAACACAUAGGCAGUGUGGAGGGAACGCGGGGAAGUGAAACAUCUCAGUACCCGCAGGAAGAGAAAACAACCGUGAUUCCGGGAGUAGUGGCGAGCGAAACCGGAUGAGGCCAAACCGUAUACGUGUGAGACCCGGCAGGGGUUGCGUGUGCGGGGUUGUGGGAUCUCUCUUCCACGGUCUGCCGGCCGUGGGACGAGUCAGAAACCGUUGAUGUAGGCGAAGGACAUGCGAAAGGUCCGGCGUAGAGGGUAAGACCCCCGUAGUCGAAACGUCAGCGGCUCGUUUGAGAGACACCCAAGUAGCACGGGGCCCGAGAAAUCCCGUGUGAAUCUGGCGGGACCACCCGCUAAGCCUAAAUAUUCCCUGGUGACCGAUAGCGGAUAGUACCGUGAGGGAAUGGUGAAAAGUACCGCGGGAGCGGAGUGAAAUAGUACCUGAAACCGUGUGCCUACAAGCCGUGGGAGCGUCGGGCAUCAAGCUUGCUUGGUGUCUCGUGACUGCGUGCCUUUUGAAGAAUGAGCCUGCGAGUUUGCGGUGUGUUGCGAGGUUAACCCGGGUGGGGAAGCCGUAGCGAAAGCGAGUCCGAACAGGGCGAUUUUAGUAGCACGCUCAAGACCCGAAGCGGAGUGAUCUAGCCAUGGGCAGGUUGAAGCGGCUGUAAGAGGUCGUGGAGGACCGAACCCACCAGGGUUGAAAACCUGGGGGAUGACCUGUGGUUAGGGGUGAAAGGCCAAUCAAACUCCGUGAUAGCUGGUUCUCCCCGAAAUGCAUUUAGGUGCAGCGUCGUGUGUUUCUUGCCGGAGGUAGAGCACUGGAUAGGCGAUGGGCCCUACCGGGUUACUGACCUUAGCCAAACUCCGAAUGCCGGUAAGUGAGAGCGCGGCAGUGAGACUGUGGGGGAUAAGCUCCAUGGUCGAGAGGGAAACAGCCCAGAGCAUCGACUAAGGCCCCUAAGCGUACGCUAAGUGGGAAAGGAUGUGGAGUCGCACAGACAACCAGGAGGUUGGCUUAGAAGCAGCCACCCUUGAAAGAGUGCGUAAUAGCUCACUGGUCUAGUGAUUCCGCGCCGACAAUGUAGCGGGGCUCAAGCGUACCGCCGAAGUCGUGUCAUUGCAGCAAUACGGCCAACGCCGGCUGUGAUGGGUAGGGGAGCGUCGUGUGCCGGGUGAAGCAGCCGCGGAAGCGAGUUGUGGACGGUUCACGAGUGAGAAUGCAGGCAUGAGUAGCGAUACAAACGUGAGAAACGUUUGCGCCGAUUGACUAAGGGUUCCUGGGUCAAGCUGAUCUGCCCAGGGUAAGUCGGGACCUAAGGCGAGGCCGACAGGCGUAGUCGAUGGAUAACCGGUUGAUAUUCCGGUACCCGCUGUGAAGCGUCAAACAUCGAGCAUCGUGAUGCUAAGGCCGUGAAGCCGCCCUGAUCUCUUCGGAGUUGAGGGGAGUGGUGGAGCCGCCGAACCAAGCGGUUAGUAGGUGAGUGAUGGGGUGACGCAGGAAGGUAGUCCAUCCCGGGCGGUGGUUGUCCCGGGGUAAGGGUGUAGGACGUCAGGUAGGUAAAUCCGCCUGGCAAUAGUCUGAGACCUGAUGCCGAGCCGAUUGUGGUGAAGUGGAUGAUCCUAUGCUGUCGAGAAAAGCCUCUAGCGAGUUUCAUGGCGGCCCGUACCCUAAACCGACUCAGGUGGUCAGGUAGAGAAUACCGAGGCGUUCGGGUGAACUAUGGUUAAGGAACUCGGCAAAAUGCCCCCGUAACUUCGGGAGAAGGGGGGCCACACCCGGUGACGAGAUUUUACUCCGAGCUGGGGGUGGCCGCAGAGACCAGCGAGAAGCGACUGUUUACUAAAAACACAGGUCCGUGCGAAGCCGUAAGGCGAUGUAUACGGACUGACGCCUGCCCGGUGCUGGAACGUUAAGGGGACCGGUUAGUCACAUUUCGGUGUGGCGAAGCUGAGAACUUAAGCGCCAGUAAACGGCGGUGGUAACUAUAACCAUCCUAAGGUAGCGAAAUUCCUUGUCGGGUAAGUUCCGACCUGCACGAAUGGCGUAACGACUUCUCGACUGUCUCAACCAUAGGCCCGGUGAAAUUGCACUACGAGUAAAGAUGCUCGUUUCGCGCAGCAGGACGGAAAGACCCCGGGACCUUUACUACAGUUUGAUAUUGGUGUUCGGUUCGGCUUGUGUAGGAUAGCUGGGAGACUUUGAAGCUCGCACGCCAGUGUGGGUGGAGUCGUCGUUGAAAUACCAGUCUGGUCGUGCUGGAUGUCUAACCUGGGUCCGUGAUCCGGAUCAGGGACAGUGUCUGAUGGGUAGUUUAACUGGGGCGGUUGCCUCCUAAAGAGUAACGGAGGCGCCCAAAGGUUCCCUCAGCCUGGUUGGCAAUCAGGUGUUGAGUGUAAGUGCACAAGGGAGCUUGACUGUGAGACCGACGGGUCGAGCAGGGACGAAAGUCGGGACUAGUGAUCCGGCGGUGGCUUGUGGAAGCGCCGUCGCUCAACGGAUAAAAGGUACCCCGGGGAUAACAGGCUGAUCUUCCCCAAGAGUCCAUAUCGACGGGAUGGUUUGGCACCUCGAUGUCGGCUCGUCGCAUCCUGGGGCUGGAGUCGGUCCCAAGGGUUGGGCUGUUCGCCCAUUAAAGCGGUACGCGAGCUGGGUUUAGAACGUCGUGAGACAGUUCGGUCCCUAUCCGCUGUGCGCGUAGGAGUCUUGAGAAGGGCUGUCCCUAGUACGAGAGGACCGGGACGGACGAACCUCUGGUGUGCCAGUUGUUCUGCCAAGGGCAUGGCUGGUUGGCUACGUUCGGGAGGGAUAACCGCUGAAAGCAUCUAAGCGGGAAGCCUGCUUCGAGAUGAGGACUCCCACCCCCUUGAGGGGUUAAGGCUCCCAGUAGACGACUGGGUUGAUAGGCCGGAUCUGGAAGCACCGUGAGGUGUGGAGGUGACCGGUACUAAUAGGCCGAGGGCUUGUCCUC